GAUGAACGCUGGCGGCGUGCCUAAUACAUGCAAGUCGAGCGAACGGACGAGAAGCUUGCUUCUCUGAUGUUAGCGGCGGACGGGUGAGUAACACGUGGAUAACCUACCUAUAAGACUGGGAUAACUUCGGGAAACCGGAGCUAAUACCGGAUAAUAUUUUGAACCGCAUGGUUCAAAAGUGAAAGACGGUCUUGCUGUCACUUAUAGAUGGAUCCGCGCUGCAUUAGCUAGUUGGUAAGGUAACGGCUUACCAAGGCAACGAUGCAUAGCCGACCUGAGAGGGUGAUCGGCCACACUAGAACGGAGACACGGUCCAGACGCCUACGGGAGGCAGCAGUAGGGAAUCUUCCGCAAUGGGCGAAAGCCUGACGGAGCAACGCCGCGUGAGUGAUGAAGGUCUUCGGAUCGUAAAACUCUGUUAUUAGGGAAGAACAUAUGUGUAAGUAACUGUGCACAUCUUGACGGUACCUAAUCAGAAAGCCACGGCUAACUACGUG
Molecule: ribosomal RNA, 497 nt
Filed under: uncultured bacterium
Lineage: Bacteria
Description: partial 16S ribosomal RNA
Rfam family: Bacterial small subunit ribosomal RNA
Source: RNAcentral